ACCAGUGUGGCAUAGUGCUUUGAGUGUUGGACUACAACUCCAGAGACCAGGGUUUGAUUCCCAGCUUGGCCA
Molecule: transfer RNA, 72 nt
Filed under: Phrynosoma platyrhinos (Desert horned lizard)
Lineage: Eukaryota; Metazoa; Chordata; Lepidosauria; Squamata; Phrynosomatidae
Description: tRNA-OTHER
Source: RNAcentral